This 484-nucleotide ribosomal RNA is filed under the name uncultured bacterium. Its description in RNAcentral is "partial 16S ribosomal RNA". It matches the Rfam family "Bacterial small subunit ribosomal RNA", at positions 30 to 507 of the family's 1533-position model. The record is from RNAcentral.
AUUGAACGCUGGCGGCAGGCCUAACACAUGCAAGUCGAGCGGAUGAAGGGAGCUUGCUCCUGGAUUCAGCGGCGGACGGGUGAGUAAUGCCUAGGAAUCUGCCUGGUAGUGGGGGAUAACGUCCGGAAACGGGCGCUAAUUCCGCAUACGUCCUGAGGGAGAAAGCGGGGGAUCUUCGGACCUCACGCUAUCAGAUGAGCCUAGGUCGGAUUAGCUAGUUGGUGGGGUAAAGGCCUACCAAGGCGACGAUCCGUAACUGGUCUGAGAGGAUGAUCAGUCACACUGGAACUGAGACACGGUCCAGACUCCUACGGGAGGCAGCAGUGGGGAAUAUUGGACCAUGGGCGAAAGCCUGAUCCAGCCAUGCCGCGUGUGUGAAGAAGGUCUUCGGAUUGUAAAGCACUUUAAGUUGGGAGGAAGGGCAGUAAGUUAAUACCUUGCUGUUUUGACGUUACCAACAGAAUAAGCACCGGCUAACUUCGUG